Molecule: ribosomal RNA, 406 nt
Filed under: uncultured bacterium
Lineage: Bacteria
Description: bacterial SSU rRNA
Rfam family: Bacterial small subunit ribosomal RNA
Source: RNAcentral
GAUGAACGCUGGCGGCGUGCUUAACACAUGCAAGUCGAACGGGGAACAUUUUAUUGAAGCUUCGGCAGAUCUGAUUUGUUCCUAGUGGCGGACGGGUGAGUAACGCGUGGGUAACCUGCCUUAUACAGGGGGAUAACAGUCAGAAAUGACUGCUAAUACCGCAUAAGCGCACAGAGGCGCAUGCCUCGGUGUGAAAAACUCCGGUGGUAUAAGAUGGACCCGCGUUGGAUUAGCUUGUUGGCGGGGCAACGGCCCACCAAGGCGACGAUCCAUAGCCGGCCUGAGAGGGUGAACGGCCACAUUGGGACUGAGACACGGCCCAGACUCCUACGGGAGGCAGCAGUGGGGAAUAUUGCACAAUGGGGGAAACCCUGAUGCAGCGACGCCGCGUGAAGGAAGAAGUAUC